AGUAAACUGACUUCCGGCUCUUGUUAAAAUCAUUCUUUACCCACACAAGGACAAAUAACAGCCGACCAGGCCGCGAAAACAACAAUCUUGAUGACAAGACAAGAAUGACAUUUUCAAAAAUGUUCCGUUUCAUCACGUCCGCUUUAUAGAAUACAACGCUUAUAAAAUAAGAGGCUGACUUCCUGGUUGCAUUUAGUUCGGUGUCUGUUCAUUGCAGCUGAUCACAUUGGAGUUCCCUGGCUUCAGGCCCCAGCUAAGGGAGGUGUCUGUCCCAGUGACUACAGGCAGCACCGAGUGGUCUCCGUCCCAGUGACUACAGACAAAAUGAAAGUCCGUGUGUAUUCCUCGGUGAAAAGCCCGGGGCCGCGGCCUAGUCCGCCUCAGAAAGAUCCGAAGGCUCUUAAAGAAUGUGGAGUGGAGCUGAGGAAUAUUGGUGAUUUCGUUAACUUCCUCCAGCUCAUGCUGAACACCAUCAGAGUCAUUCAGCAAUCUACCUGAGCGGCCCCCGUCCAAAAGUAAAUACAACCAACCCGAAGGUUAUUACCGAAAAAUGGUUUUUAAAAAAAAACGCCGUCUGUGCUUUCUUUACCGGUUUCUGGACUGAGCUUUCUUCAUUAAAAGUCGUUAAGAGAUCCAGGAUAUGGUUGGGGCCUGUCGGAAGAGCUGAAGCCUGGGCAUGGCAGUAACCCAGGGGUGGAAGGAGCGGCAAAAUGGGCAACGGUGGGAACAAAACAAAGAACAACAAUAACAAUACCGAGAGGAUUUUGUUGGACAGUGUGGAGGGAGGAUUAGACCGAAAACUAUACGCUCGGGAGGAAAAAGGUGUGAAACGUCGUAUUUUUAAAAAAAAAAUAAUAGGAAGCGCUAUGUUGCAUCGUAUGUUUGUAAAAAUGGCAGUGACUGAAUGUUAAACUGAUAAACUUUUCAACGGCUUUCUUGUGUCACUUUUUUAACAGUUGAAAAUUGUGUAUUAAUGGAACAGUUUAUUAAUGAGUGGUUUUCACUACUUCGGUACAUGUGACAACGGUAAAUCAAAUUGUCACGUGUAUUUUACAGUGAUACUGUACAGUAAAAUACAGUGAAAAAGCUUCCACUUGUCACCUUGACCCGGUGCCAUUUUGAAUAGUUUAAUAAAAACUGAUAUAGCUUAAAGUUUGUUUUUGAAUGCACAAUGUGAGAUUUUGAGGGGGGGUGCAGAAGCUGCAAAUAUUAGUUAAUUAUGAAAUGAAAUAAAAUGGUUUAACAUGUAUGACAGGUCUGCCAUGGAUUUUGAACAACCUCAGUUUCACAGGUUUUUAUUCUUAUUGAAUAUCUGUAAAAAAAAAAUUUGAGAGAUGUUUGACUUUAAGUUGUACUGUGAAUGUGAAGUGUUAGUUUAAAGUCAGAACAAAUUAUAUAUCUCAUUAAACUAACUAUAACUACUGAUGAGAAAAACAUAUUGUAAGCAAACGUUUUAAAGGUUCACUGGGUCUCAGUAAAACUGUCUUAUUGUCAUAUGCAAGCUUAUCAUACAUAUGUAUAACAAUUCUAUUGUGCAAAAACUUGCAAUCAUUCUGAGUGUUUUGAUACUGUAAUUCUUGGCAAUUUGCAUUAAAUAUUUUUAAUCAGUAAU
Long non-coding RNA from Rhincodon typus (whale shark), 1612 nucleotides. RefSeq lists it as uncharacterized. The record is from RefSeq and is a predicted model, not a curated record. The transcript is spliced from 2 exons. NCBI's taxonomy places the organism in Eukaryota, Metazoa, Chordata, Chondrichthyes, Orectolobiformes, Rhincodontidae.